GCCCAUAAUUGAUGUUCUUGUUAGCAAUCCGAAAGAGAGGGUGAGUAAGAAAAAAAGAGGUGUAUAGAAGCAAAUCCUUUGGGCUUAUUAUUUAGAGGCCCAAGUCAUGAGGGGCAAAGUAAAGAGGAAUGUCUCAUAUGCGUCUCAUUUCCUAUUCAGUCUCCAACAUACACUUUCUCCCUCUCUUGUGACUCCUUGGCCGGAGAUCGCUCUGUCGUGCCGGAGGCGGCGGAGCAACCAAGAUCCUCCCAUAUCCACCACCGACAAAUUCCCAUCAUUCUCCUCUUCUUACUUCUCAACUUUAAUUUCGUUGAAACUCGGUGAAAAUCUCACGUCCCCCACAAACAUUCCAAGAACCCUAUGUCUCUAAUUCAAAAUUAAAUAACCAUGAUUCACUAAUCUGAACCCAAACCUUAGGGGUUUGGUUUGUCUACUCAAGCACUACAACCUGGUAACUAGAUUGAAGCAAGACAAUGAAGAAUAAAAGGCGAUGAGCUUACCUACAGAAUUGAGGUAUGCUCUGGGAAAUGUUGGAGCAGUUGCGGAAGAAGAUGCAGAGAAAAAUACCAUAACUAUGAUCAGGAUUACUACAAACUUGGUGCAAUGAGCAUAUAAUAUGGUUUUUAGCAAGGCAUAAAACAUCAUGGUGGGAUCUAAGUUAUGAAGAGUUUCUUUGGAGUCACAUAAGAAUGGAAGAUCUUGAGGAUGGAGAAAAAAGUAGGAUUAAGAGUCAGUUUGACUUGGUCAACUGUUGACUAGAAAGUCAUAAGUUGACCAAAAGUCAACUCUAGGUCAAAUAUGAUUUUUUUUGUAUAACUUGAUUUUGGCUUUUUUAUAAUGUAUUUGGAUGUUUAUAAUGAAGAUUGGCUUUUGAAUA
This is a long non-coding RNA of Lathyrus oleraceus (garden pea), 877 nucleotides long. RefSeq lists it as uncharacterized. The transcript is spliced from 2 exons. NCBI's taxonomy places the organism in Eukaryota, Viridiplantae, Streptophyta, Magnoliopsida, Fabales, Fabaceae. The record is from RefSeq and is a predicted model, not a curated record.